Molecule: ribosomal RNA, 493 nt
Filed under: uncultured bacterium
Lineage: Bacteria
Description: partial 16S ribosomal RNA
Rfam family: Bacterial small subunit ribosomal RNA
Source: RNAcentral
ACGAACGCUGGCGGCGUGCUUAACCCAUGCCAGUCGAACGGAAAGGCCUGCUUUCCCUUGUGGAUUGCGGGUACUCGAGUGGCGAACGGGUGAGUAACACGUGAGUGAUCUGCCCCCAACUUGGGUAUAAGCCUGGGAAACUGGGUCUAAUUCCCGAUAGGACUGCAGGGUGGUGCCUGUGGUGGAAAACGAUUUUCUAGUGGUUGGGGAUGAGCUCGCGGCCUAUCAGCUUGUUGGUGGGGUAAUGGCCUACCAAGGCGGCGACGGGUAGCCGGCCUGAGAGGGUGGACGGCCACAUUGGGACUGAGAUACGGCCCAGACUCCUACGGGAGGCAGCAGUGGGGAAUAUUGCACAAUGGGCGGAAGCCUGAUGCAGCGACGCCGCGUGGGGGAUGACGGCCUUCGGGUUGUAAACUCCUUUCGACCGCGAGGAAGCCACCUGGUUGGAAGGGUGGUGACGGUAGUGGUAGAAGAAGCACCGGCUAACUACGUG